CAUCGCCUCCUGCCCACUCAGCAUAGGAGGUCCCGCCUGCCCUGUGACCAAAAGUUUAACGGCCGCGGUAUUUUAACCGUGCAAAGGUAGCGCAAUCAAUUGUCUUUUAAAUGAAGACCUGUAUGAAUGGCAUAACGAGGGUUUAACUGUCUCUUUUUUCAGGUCAAUGAAACUGAUCUGUCCGUGCAGAAGCGGACAUAUUAACACAAGACGAGAAGACCCUAUGGAGCUUUAGACGCCCACCAACCACGAAAAGCAGCCUACCUAAACAGAUGCUCUAAACAACGCGGUCCUGGUACAAACGUCUUCGGUUGGGGCGACCGCGGAGGAGAACAAAGCCUCCGAGAGGAAUGGGAACAAACCCUAGAACCAAGAGCCACAGCUCUAAGUCACAAAAAAUUUGACCGACAAUGAUCCGGCUUACUGCCGAUCAACGGACCAAGUUACCCUAGGGAUAACAGCGCAAUCCCCUCCCAGAGUCCAUAUCGACGAGGGGGUUUACGACCUCGAUGUUGGAUCAGGACAUCCUAAUGGUGCAGCCGCUAUUAAGGGUUCGUUUGUUCAACGAUUAAAGUCCUACGUG
Molecule: ribosomal RNA, 583 nt
Filed under: Sardinella aurita (round sardinella)
Lineage: Eukaryota; Metazoa; Chordata; Actinopteri; Clupeiformes; Clupeidae
Description: partial 16S ribosomal RNA
Rfam family: Bacterial large subunit ribosomal RNA
Source: RNAcentral